GACGAACGCUGGCGGCGUGCUUAACACAUGCAAGUCGAACGGUAAGGCCCUUCGGGGUACACGAGUGGCGAACGGGUGAGUAACACGUGGGUGAUCUGCCUUGCACUUCGGGAUAAGCCUGGGAAACUGGGUCUAAUACCGGAUAGGACCAUGGACUUCACGGUUUGUGGUGGAAAGCUUUUGCGGUGUGGGAUGGGCCCGCGGCCUAUCAGCUUGUUGGUGGGGUAAUGGCCUACCAAGGCGACGACGGGUAGCCGGCCUGAGAGGGUGUCCGGCCACACUGGGACUGAGAUACGGCCCAGACUCCUACGGGAGGCAGCAGUGGGGAAUAUUGCACAAUGGGCGCAAGCCUGAUGCAGCGACGCCGCGUGAGGGAUGACGGCCUCGGUU
RNAcentral lists this ribosomal RNA (390 nucleotides) under uncultured bacterium. RNAcentral's name for it is "bacterial SSU rRNA". It matches the Rfam family "Bacterial small subunit ribosomal RNA", at positions 28 to 424 of the family's 1533-position model. The record is from RNAcentral.